This 267-nucleotide ribosomal RNA is filed under the name uncultured Clostridium sp. RNAcentral describes it as "partial 16S ribosomal RNA". It matches the Rfam family "Bacterial small subunit ribosomal RNA", at positions 390 to 674 of the family's 1533-position model. Lineage: Bacteria; Bacillati; Bacillota; Clostridia; Eubacteriales; Clostridiaceae. The record is from RNAcentral.
AGCAACGCCGCGUGAGUGAUGACGGCCUUCGGGUUGUAAAGCUCUGUCUUCAGGGACGAUAAUGACGGUACCUGAGGAGGAAGCCACGGCUAACUACGUGCCAGCAGCCGCGGUAAUACGUAGGUGGCGAGCGUUGUCCGGAUUUACUGGGCGUAAAGGGAGCGUAGGCGGACUUUUAAGUGAGAUGUGAAAUACCCGGGCUCAACUUGGGUGCUGCAUUUCAAACUGGAAGUCUAGAGUGCAGGAGAGGAGAAUGGAAUUCCUAGU